AUUGAACGCUGGCGGCAGGCCUAACACAUGCAAGUCGAGCGAGCGGCGGACGGGUGAGUAAUGUAUGGGGACUUCCCGAUAGAGGGGGAUAACUACUGGAAACGGUAGCUAAUACCGCAUACUAUCGGAUAACCCAUAGGGGUUGAGCUAGUAGGUGAGGUAAUGGCCCACCUAGGCGACGAUCCCUAGCUGGUCUGAGAGGAUGAUCAGCCACACAGAGACGGAGACACGGCCCAGAAUCCUACGGAGGCAGAAGUGGGGAAUAUUGCACAAUGGGCGCAAGCCUGAUGCAGCCAGGCCGCGUGUAUGAAGAAGGCCCUAGGGUUGUAAAGUACUUUCAGUCGGGAGGCGUUACCGACAGAGGAAGCAACGGCUAACUCCGUGCCAGCAGCCGCGGUAAUUC
Molecule: ribosomal RNA, 403 nt
Filed under: uncultured bacterium
Lineage: Bacteria
Description: partial 16S ribosomal RNA
Rfam family: Bacterial small subunit ribosomal RNA
Source: RNAcentral